Long non-coding RNA from Bos taurus (domestic cattle), 1074 nucleotides. The record is from Ensembl. NCBI's taxonomy places the organism in Eukaryota, Metazoa, Chordata, Mammalia, Artiodactyla, Bovidae.
UGUGACUUUGAGGUCAGUUGUGACGGGCGCGCCAACGCGCAGGCGAGAGGAGCCACCCCACGUCCGAGGUCAGGGGCAGAAGCCGAGAGGACCCCAUGCUCGAAGGGCGGCGGCCGAGAGGAGUUACCCCACGUCUGAGGUCAGGGGCAGCGGCCGAGAGUACCAACUGCAACGGAGCAGGAACAGUGGAGAGGAGCUACCCCGCGUCGGAGGUCAGGGGCGGUGGCCGGGAGGAGAUACCCCACGCCCCAAGCCCAAGGCCAGGGGCGGCGGGCGGGCGGGAGGAGGAGCUACCCCACGCCCCUAAGCCCGAGACCAGGGACGGCGGCCAGGAAGAGCAACCGCACGCUCCCACACCCGAGGCCAGGGACGGCGGCCAGGAGGAGCAACCCCACGACCGAGGCCAGGGGCGGUGGCCAGGAGGACCAACCCCACGCCCAAGGAGCCGUGGAUGUGCGGGCGCAGGAGGGCCUAGAGGAGCUAUCCCACGUUGAAGGUCAGGAAGGGCUGCAGUGAGGAGAUACCCCUCGCCCAAGCCUCCUAGCAGCCCUGAGAUGCAGGGAUGAGACCAAGAUCCCUUCAUUCAGAUGAACAUUCACUGAGCCUAGACUCUGUGUCAGACAGAGGCCUCAAGGAGUUCAGAGUCUAGAGGGAGAGACCAACAGAAAGAAAGCAGAGAGACAACAGCAAUUGAGAGAUGUGGGAGCUGGAUGGAUAAGGGCUGGCUGCCUUAGCGAAAGGCCAGAGGAAGCUGAAAUAUAAUUCCUUAUCAAGGGAGUGGGGAGAAGGAGAGAGCAGUAUCAACAAGAAACAAGUCUACAUCUGCCUCAGAACCCAAGAACAGCUUAGGAAUGGGAGGUGCUGGAUACUUCUGAAGGUAGGUUGUCGGAUGGGCUAGAAGGGGAGGCCUGCGGGAAAGCAUAAGGAGCUAGACUCCUAAAUCUCCUCCUUCAACCUCUGCAGCCAGAUGACUGCCCUCUUCCAGCUUGUCAGGAGACUGAAUUGAGAGGCUAUGGAUAUGGGAACACUGGCACAGCUGAAAACAGGAGUGAUGGACUGUACUGUAAUCGGGGG